RNAcentral lists this ribosomal RNA (481 nucleotides) under uncultured bacterium. RNAcentral's name for it is "bacterial SSU rRNA". It matches the Rfam family "Bacterial small subunit ribosomal RNA", at positions 29 to 507 of the family's 1533-position model. The record is from RNAcentral.
AUUGAACGCUGGCGGUAGGCCUAACACAUGCAAGUCGAACGCGAAAGUCCUUCGGGAUGAGUAGAGUGGCGGACGGGUGAGUAACGCGUAGGAAUCUAUCCUGUAGUGGGGGAUAACGUUUCGAAAGGAACGCUAAUACCGCAUACGCCCUACGGGGGAAAGCGGGGGAUCUUCGGACCUCGUGCUAGAGGAGGAGCCUGCGUCGGAUUAGCUAGUUGGUGAGGUAAAGGCUCACCAAGGCGACGAUCCGUAGCUGGUCUGAGAGGAUGAUCAGCCACACCGGAACUGAGACACGGUCCGGACUCCUACGGGAGGCAGCAGUGGGGAAUAUUGCGCAAUGGGCGAAAGCCUGACGCAGCCAUACCGCGUGUGUGAAGAAGGCCUUCGGGUUGUAAAGCACUUUCAGUGGGGAGGAAAAGCGGGUGGCUAAUAUCCAUCGGCCGUGACGCUACCCACAGAAGAAGCACCGGCUAAUUCCGUG